Molecule: long non-coding RNA, 370 nt
Filed under: Bos taurus (domestic cattle)
Lineage: Eukaryota; Metazoa; Chordata; Mammalia; Artiodactyla; Bovidae
Description: long non-coding RNA NONBTAT000723
Source: RNAcentral
AAGGUCUCCAGAGUCAAAAACGCAUCUCUGUGAUCAUGAUCGUCCUCCAGGACAGGCAGUGUGAGAGUGCGGAAGGGAGUGAGCAACUGUGCUUAUGGUCUAAGGUUACUAGUUUUAUCUAGGAUUCCUAGUUUUUAAAACGAAUACACCUGUAAUUAAAAUUACUUCCUGUGUGGGGCUAGUCUGUGACUCUGUACCCCACUGUCACAGAGCUUGGAGUGGGGAUGAGGGAAAAACCUUAAUUUCUGCAUCUUAGCUCCAGGUCUCACAACAUCUCCCACUUGAUAACACUACGGGUUGUUUAAGGCUCUUUGCUUCUCCUCCUAUUCGUCCAGCCUUUUGGCAGUUCUAUGUCAGAAGGUGAAAGAGA